GGGGAUUAGUGGCGAACGGGUGAGUAACACGUGGGCAAUCUGCCCUGCACUCUGGGACAAGCCCUGGAAACGGGGUCUAAUACCGGAUAUGACGCGUUCCCGCAUGGGAUACGUGUGGAAAGCUCCGGCGGUGCAGGAUGAGCCCGCGGCCUAUCAGCUUGUUGGUGGGGUGAUGGCCUACCAAGGCGACGACGGGUAGCCGGCCUGAGAGGGCGACCGGCCACACUGGGACUGAGACACGGCCCAGACUCCUACGGGAGGCAGCAGUGGGGAAUAUUGCACAAUGGGCGCAAGCCUGAUGCAGCGACGCCGCGUGAGGGAUGACGGCCUUCGGGUUGUAAACCUCUUUCAGCAGGGAAGAAGCGUGAGUGACGGUACCUGCAGAAGAAGCGCCGGCUAACUACGUGCCAGCAGCCGCGGUAAUACGUAGGGCGCAAGCGUUGUCCGGAAUUAUUGGGCGUAAAGAGCUCGUAGGCGGCUUGUCGCGUCGGAUGUGAAAGCCCGGGGCUUAACUCCGGGUCUGCAUUCGAUACGGGCAGGCUAGAGUUCGGUAGGGGAGAUCGGAAUUCCUGGUGUAGCGGUGAAAUGCGCAGAUAUCAGGAGGAACACCGGUGGCGAAGGCGGAUCUCUGGGCCGAUACUGACGCUGAGGAGCGAAAGCGUGGGGAGCGAACAGGAUUAGAUACCCUGGUAGUCCACGCCGUAAACGUUGGGAACUAGGUGUG
This 724-nucleotide ribosomal RNA is filed under the name Actinomycetes bacterium. Its description in RNAcentral is "bacterial SSU rRNA". It matches the Rfam family "Bacterial small subunit ribosomal RNA", at positions 87 to 824 of the family's 1533-position model. The record is from RNAcentral. Lineage: Bacteria; Bacillati; Actinomycetota; Actinomycetes.